This is a long non-coding RNA of Cygnus olor (mute swan), 1275 nucleotides long. RefSeq lists it as uncharacterized. Lineage: Eukaryota; Metazoa; Chordata; Aves; Anseriformes; Anatidae. The record is from RefSeq and is a predicted model, not a curated record. The transcript has 3 exons.
GAAAGCCGCGGGUGUGCUGGGGACGGGCCCGCCGUGGUGUUUGGGCAGGGAUUUCUCCUUCCGUGCGGCCGUUUCCACGCUGGGCGCCGGCGGGCGCCGCUGGAGACACGAGGGGCGGUGCGGGCAGGGGAUGCCAGGACUUAAGAUGGCGCCGGGGGGGGGGGGGGGCGCCGUGAGGAAGCCGGUGCGUGAGGAGAUCCGUGAUGGCGGAGGAGAACUCUGGUGUCUGAGGAGAGCCCCGGUGUCUGAAGAGAACUCCGGUGUCUGAGGAGAACUCUGCUGUUCGCAGAAGCCCCGCAGCGCUCAGGACCGCGCGGGUCGCGCCCCCGGGGCUGCUCCCCCGUGAGGUGCCGCCAUGAGCGCCCCGCUGCCGCCCGGCCUCGGCCCCGCAGCCCUCCGGGGCCGGCUCGUUCCUUAUUAAACGAAAUUUGAAGUUCGCCGCCUUGCUUGGCGUCCGUGGUGUGCGCUUACCGAGGGGACGGGGCAGGGGGAUCAACGCCUGCUGCUCGGCUCCCUGGCUCUGCGCAGCCGUUGGGGAUUGGCGAGGGAGUUGCGGAGCUUUGUGCUGUGGGGGGAUUGCUGCUCCGCCUCGCUGCCGGGCAGAAAGGAGAAAAAGGCAGAAAAGAGCCCGGCCUCGCAUGCCCCAGCGCCGGCCGGGGCAUGCAGCAGGGUCAGGCCGUGCUGUUCAGGGCCGGAGCUACGCUCCCCGGUGUCCCAGGCUCCUAAAGCAGUGCUUUCUCACAGACUUUUAAAAAUGUUUUGACGGCCUCUUUGUCUCUGGUGUCUGGAAACAAGAACACAUGUUGUAUGACCAUCCAGCUCUUCGUAGAUUACUGUCAAAUGCUCUGGGUCAUGGGGACUCAGCGAUUCCUGGGGGCUGUCAAACUGAUGACACGCAGCAAACCAGCCGGUGUGUCUCUGCCUGCUGCUUAGCGUAAGCGCUGAUAUGUCAGUCAGACUUUACUAUCAAGUACAGGCUUAUGUGCGCCUGAAAUGUUUUGCAGCUUUCGACUCAUUGGUGUACUCAGUAAUUUAAAAGCUUUCACAUACUCUAAAAAAUGUUGUCUUGCAGUGCAAGGGCUAUCUUUGUUCCUAAUACAGAGCCUGAGCCUGCAAGUCCUUUGUGGAAGACCAGGCUCCAGCAUAGAUGUACAAUUGUUAAGCAGUCGGUUGCAUUUCAACCGUGGUAAAACGAUCCUUGUUUUAUAUUUCCAUACAAUAAUUUCUGUAAAGGCUGUGAGAUUCUUUCAGAUGGAGGGCUAUAAAAAUCUAAGU